Molecule: ribosomal RNA, 1433 nt
Filed under: uncultured organism
Description: 16S ribosomal RNA
Rfam family: Bacterial small subunit ribosomal RNA
Source: RNAcentral
AACACAUGCAAGUCGAGGGGCAGCAUGGUCUUAGCUUGCUAAGACUGAUGGCGACCGGCGCACGGGUGAGUAACACGUAUCCAACCUGCCGUCUACUCUUGGACAGCCUUCUGAAAGGAAGAUUAAUACAAGAUGGCAUCAUGAGUCCGCAUGUUCACAUGAUUAAAGGUAUUCCGGUAGACGAUGGGGAUGCGUUCCAUUAGAUAGUAGGCGGGGUAACGGCCCACCUAGUCUUCGAUGGAUAGGGGUUCUGAGAGGAAGGUCCCCCACAUUGGAACUGAGACACGGUCCAAACUCCUACGGGAGGCAGCAGUGAGGAAUAUUGGUCAAUGGGCGAGAGCCUGAACCAGCCAAGUAGCGUGAAGGAUGACUGCCCUAUGGGUUGUAAACUUCUUUUAUAAAGGAAUAAAGUCGGGUAUGCAUACCCGUUUGCAUGUACUUUAUGAAUAAGGAUCGGCUAACUCCGUGCCAGCAGCCGCGGUAAUACGGAGGAUCCGAGCGUUAUCCGGAUUUAUUGGGUUUAAAGGGAGCGUAGAUGGAUGUUUAAGUCAGUUGUGAAAGUUUGCGGCUCAACCGUAAAAUUGCAGUUGAUACUGGAUAUCUUGAGUGCAGUUGAGGCAGGCGGAAUUCGUGGUGUAGCGGUGAAAUGCUUAGAUAUCACGAAGAACUCCGAUUGCGAAGGCAGCCUGCUAAGCUGCAACUGACAUUGAGGCUCGAAAGUGUGGGUAUCAAACAGGAUUAGAUACCCUGGUAGUCCACACGGUAAACGAUGAAUACUCGCUGUUUGCGAUAUACUGCAAGCGGCCAAGCGAAAGCGUUAAGUAUUCCACCUGGGGAGUACGCCGGCAACGGUGAAACUCAAAGGAAUUGACGGGGGCCCGCACAAGCGGAGGAACAUGUGGUUUAAUUCGAUGAUACGCGAGGAACCUUACCCGGGCUUAAAUUGCAGAUGAAUUACGGUGAAAGCCGUAAGCCGCAAGGCAUCUGUGAAGGUGCUGCAUGGUUGUCGUCAGCUCGUGCCGUGAGGUGUCGGCUUAAGUGCCAUAACGAGCGCAACCCUUGUUGUCAGUUACUAACAGGUUCCGCUGAGGACUCUGACAAGACUGCCAUCGUAAGAUGUGAGGAAGGUGGGGAUGACGUCAAAUCAGCACGGCCCUUACGUCCGGGGCUACACACGUGUUACAAUGGGGGGUACAGAGGGCCGCUACCACGCGAGUGGAUGCCAAUCCCCAAAACCUCUCUCAGUUCGGACUGGAGUCUGCAACCCGACUCCACGAAGCUGGAUUCGCUAGUAAUCGCGCAUCAGCCACGGCGCGGUGAAUACGUUCCCGGGCCUUGUACACACCGCCCGUCAAGCCAUGGGAGCCGGGGGUACCUGAAGUGCGUAACCGCGAGGAGCGCCCUAGGGUAAAACUGGUGACUGGGGCUAAGUC